UUCGUCGUCGCUUUCUAUCAGUUCGGUCUUCUGACGGUCGGUCUGUUGUUUGCAGCUGAUUUACAACAUAUCCAAGCUGGAGGCCGGAUAUUGGAGGUUCGGCGAUCUCUGGACGGCCUGAAAAGAUAAGGCCACGACCGCUGAGGUCGAGAAGGCAAUAAUGGUCGAUCAGCUGAAACAGUCGGUUGACCGUGAGGCCCGGCUCGAAGAGGAGA
This 215-nucleotide long non-coding RNA is filed under the name Elaeis guineensis (African oil palm). RNAcentral's name for it is "long non-coding RNA (EGUI_LNC077194)". Lineage: Eukaryota; Viridiplantae; Streptophyta; Magnoliopsida; Arecales; Arecaceae. The record is from RNAcentral.